ACUAAUCUUUUUUCUUUCCUAUUUUAACAAGUUUCUCUACAUCCCCAGCAAAAGAAAGUAGAAAAGGAAAAGAAAAGAAACAGAAAUUGUAGAAAAUGGGUUCGGAGACGUUCAUUGAGGUUAUACUAGCUGUUCUCUUGCGGCCGAUAGGGGGUGUUUUCGCGAAGAACCCACAAUCAAAGAGUGUAUAUGGCUUUCAAUCUAAGACAUUGUUGUAUCAUGAUAAUUUUCUGUUGCAAUUGUAAAACCUUCUCUUUACUCUGUUCAUGAGUUUUCAUUCAUUUGUUCAAUAUCAUUCAAUUAGGUUGUUCUACACCAUAUGAUCAUGCUCUCUGUUUUGUAUUCUUAUGUUAGCCGCUAUUGGACGGAAACUUAUACAAUAAUCCAUCCAAGUCACGGGGAAUGUCCAUGAAUGUUUUUAACUAAUCUACACACGAUCAAUUUGAUUUGCUACGGGAAAAGAAGGCAACAAAAAUUAAAUUCAAAGUUAUAAAAGGCGCCAACAUAUUUCUUU
This 514-nucleotide long non-coding RNA is filed under the name Linum usitatissimum (flax). RNAcentral's name for it is "long non-coding RNA (LUSI_LNC002951)". Lineage: Eukaryota; Viridiplantae; Streptophyta; Magnoliopsida; Malpighiales; Linaceae. The record is from RNAcentral.